Pelobates cultripes (western spadefoot toad) is the source of this 360-nucleotide non-coding RNA. The record is from the annotation of a GenBank genome assembly. Lineage: Eukaryota; Metazoa; Chordata; Amphibia; Anura; Pelobatidae.
GAGGGUGUCACUAGUGACAGAGUGACGGAGGGGGUGACUAGUGACAGAUUUAGGGAGGGAAGAGGUGACUAGUGACAGAGUGAGGAAGGGAGUGACUAGCGACAGAGGGAGGGGUGACUAGGGACAGAGUGAGGGAGGUGGUGACUAGUGACAGUCACCACCUCCCUCACUCUGUCACUGUGUCACCCCCUCCCUCUGUCACUGGUCACCCACUCCCUCCCUCACUCUGUCACCAGUCAUCCCCUCACUCUGUCACUAGUAACCCCUUCCUUCCCUCACUCUGCCACUAGUCACCCCUUCCCUCACUCUGUCACCUGUCACCCCCUCACUCUAUCACUAGUCACCCCCUCACUCUAGUGA